RNAcentral lists this unclassified non-coding RNA (412 nucleotides) under Hevea brasiliensis (rubber tree). The record is from RNAcentral. Lineage: Eukaryota; Viridiplantae; Streptophyta; Magnoliopsida; Malpighiales; Euphorbiaceae.
UCUUGCUCAGGUUUCUUUAUUUAGGUCUGUUUUUCUCCUUAAAAUUCUCUCUCUGAAUGCCUGUUUGGUUGAUAAGAAAAAGUAGGAAAAUAAAAGAGGCUUCUAUCCUCUAAGUUUUAGAACCUUGUGUUCAAUCUUUGUCUGUGGAGAAUGAAACCUCAACUAUUAUUGAGUGAUUACUCUAGCAAGUUUGGAUGAAUCAGUUGAAUUUUUAAACUUUAGUUGAUAAAAACAUGAUACUUUAAUAGAGAACUCAAUCUUUUGAAAGAAUGACUUUUUGUGGUUCAAAUUCAAUAGUUAAAGAAGUUCAUAAUGGAAUAAGAUGUGAAAUAUAUAUAUUGAAGCUGAACAAAGCAUCAAAAAUUUCUUAGCAUAUUUUACUAAGAAUUUGUUAGUCAUAGGAUUAAAGCCG